This 244-nucleotide ribosomal RNA is filed under the name uncultured bacterium. RNAcentral's name for it is "partial small subunit ribosomal RNA". It matches the Rfam family "Bacterial small subunit ribosomal RNA", at positions 26 to 285 of the family's 1533-position model. The record is from RNAcentral.
AGAGCGAACGCUGGCGGCAGGCCUAACACAUGCAAGUCGCACGAGAAAGGGGAGCAAUCCCUGAGUACAGUGGCGCACGGGUGAGUAACACGUGAAUAAUCUACCUCCGAGUGGGGAAUAACUGAGAGAAAUCUUAGCUAAUACCGCAUAACACUUACGAGUCAAAGCAGCAAUGCGCUUGGAGAGGAGUUCGCGGCCGAUUAGUUAGUUGGCGGGUAAUGGCCCACCAAGACGAUGAUCGGUA